UACCCCCUCCAAAUUCCUAUUAAGGUUAAUUAUGAAGUAAUUAUGUUUGUAAUUCUUUGUCUACAGGUCCAAAUCAUAUGAUGUUAGAGAUGUGGAAUCCCCUGGGGAUAGUUGGUGUAAUUACAGCCUUUAACUUCCCAUGUGCUGUCCUUGGAUGGAAUGCUUGUAUUGCACUGGUUUGUGGCAACUGUGUUGUUUGGUAAGUCACAGUACUACACUGGGAAAAAAGCAUUUUGAUAUAUUUUUUUUUAAAUAAAAGUGAAUUAUUAUUAUGCACAAGGUACGAAGAAGGUACGACCCAUAUGCAAAAUAGUUACAAAUCUAUCAAUUGGUCAAUGAUCACACCUAUAUCAUCUAGGUUUUUAAUAUCAUGACCCAGUAAAAUAAAUCCAAAAGUGUGAAUCCAUUUAUCUCUAAUGUUACCAAGAUUAAUCUCUACCCCCUCAAAAGGUCUACCAUUUAUUUCUUUCGAAAUCAUCUAAAAAAUAGUAAGUGGUGCAAGAAAUAAAUGUCUCCCCCUUUUUUAUACACAAACCCUCCCAAGCCAAAAGUUCAUUACUUACACUACCUGCCGUAACUCAAUCCACCCCAAUAAGCCUCAAAACAGAAGACCAUAUGCCGUGUGUAACAGCACAACC
Molecule: non-coding RNA, 638 nt
Organism: Carica papaya (papaya)
Lineage: Eukaryota; Viridiplantae; Streptophyta; Magnoliopsida; Brassicales; Caricaceae
Source: RefSeq, a predicted model, not a curated record